UUGGGGUAAAUAGUUGAAACCAUGGCCUCAAAAGAAGUCUGACAGUUUUACUUGGAGAAGGUCUGACAUUUACCUAUAUUGCCAGCAUAUACUCGGAUGUCUACCAACUAUAUCAGACCGACGAUGCACAACUGAUGAUCCUCGAUGACCUAUCCAAUAAUAUGACUAUUUAUAAAUCAAUGAUUAUAUCGGUUUUUUACUGAUUGUAUUACUUGGCUGAGGACCGAGAAUCUUAGAAAAAACUAUAACACACAACACGAAAGAUCAGAGGUCAGAGAACAGUUACAAUGCACAAUAGAAGUAUUAACUACUCAUAAUUGAGAGGUCGUAGGCU
This 334-nucleotide long non-coding RNA is filed under the name Elaeis guineensis (African oil palm). RNAcentral's name for it is "long non-coding RNA (EGUI_LNC028399)". The record is from RNAcentral. Lineage: Eukaryota; Viridiplantae; Streptophyta; Magnoliopsida; Arecales; Arecaceae.